This 291-nucleotide ribosomal RNA is filed under the name uncultured bacterium. RNAcentral's name for it is "partial 16S ribosomal RNA". It matches the Rfam family "Bacterial small subunit ribosomal RNA", at positions 31 to 307 of the family's 1533-position model. The record is from RNAcentral.
GAAUAGAACGCUGGCGGCGCGCCUAAUACAUGCAAGUCGAGCGAGAAGACGUAGCAAUACGUUUGUAAAGCGGCGAACGGGUGAGGAAUACAUGGGUAACCUACCCUUGAGUGGGGAAGUAACUAGCCGAAAGGUUAGCUAAUACCGCGUACGCUUCCUGGACUUCGGUUCAGGGAGGAAAGCGAUGCCGAGGGUAUCGCGCUCUUGGAUGGGCUCAUGUCCUAUCAGCUUGUUGGNGAGGUAACGGCUCACCAAGGCUUCGACGGGUANCUGGUCUGAGAGGACGAUCAG